RNAcentral lists this ribosomal RNA (275 nucleotides) under uncultured bacterium. RNAcentral describes it as "partial 16S ribosomal RNA". It matches the Rfam family "Bacterial small subunit ribosomal RNA", at positions 338 to 630 of the family's 1533-position model. The record is from RNAcentral.
CCUACGGGUGGCAGCAGUGGGGAAUAUUGGACAAUGGGCGAAAGCCUGAUCCAGCCAUGCCGCGUGAGUGAAGAAGGCCUUCGGGUUGUAAAACUCUUUUAGCAGGGAAGAUCGUGACGGUACCUGCAGAAAAAGCACCGGCUAACUUCGUGCCAGCAGCCGCGGUAAUACGAAGGGUGCUAGCGUUGCUCGGAAUCACUGGGCGUAAAGCGUGCGCAGGCGGAUAUGCAAGUCAGGUGUGAAAUCCCCAGGCUUAACCUGGGAACUGCAUUUGA